RNAcentral lists this unclassified non-coding RNA (387 nucleotides) under soil metagenome. Its description in RNAcentral is "partial contains 5.8S ribosomal RNA, internal transcribed spacer 2, and large subunit ribosomal RNA". The stretch from base 1 to 120 matches the Rfam family "5.8S ribosomal RNA", at positions 35 to 154 of the family's 154-position model. The record is from RNAcentral.
GAUGAAGAACGUAGCGAAAUGCGAUAAGUAAUGUGAAUUGCAGAAUUCAGUGAAUCAUCGAAUCUUUGAACGCACCUUGCGCUCCUUGGUAUUCCGAGGAGCAUGCCUGUUUGAGUGUCAUGAAAUUCUCAACCUUUUCAGCUUUCUUUGUUGAUCAGGCUUGGAUGUGGGAGUAUGCGGGCUUCUCAGAAGUCGGCUCUCCUGAAAUGCAUUAGCGGGACCUUUGUUGCCUGGCUUUGGUGUGAUAAUUAUCUACGCCAUUGUAGUCAAGCAGCUUAAAAUGAGGUUUCAGCAUCUAACCGUCUCCCCUGAGACAACUUUUUGACAAUUUGACCUCAAAUCAGGUAGGACUACCCGCUGAACUUAAGCAUAUCAAUAAGCGGAGGA